CCUACGGGAGGCAGCAGUAGGGAAUCUUCCGCAAUGGACGAAAGUCUGACGGAGCAACGCCGCGUGAGUGAUGAAGGUUUUCGGAUCGUAAAGCUCUGUUGUUAGGGAAGAACAAGUGCGAGAGUAACUGCUCGCACCUUGACGGUACCUAACCAGAAAGCCACGGCUAACUACGUGCCAGCAGCCGCGGUAAUACGUAGGUGGCAAGCGUUGUCCGGAAUUAUUGGGCGUAAAGGGCUCGCAGGCGGUUUCUUAAGUCUGAUGUGAAAGCCCCCGGCUCAACCGGGGAGGGUCAUUGGAAACUGGGAAACUUGAGUGCAGAAGAGGAGAGUGGAAUUCCACGUGUAGCGGUGAAAUGCGUAGAGAUGUGGAGGAACACCAGUGGCGAAGGCGACUCUCUGGUCUGUAACUGACGCUGAGAGCGAAAGCGUGGGGAGGGAACAGGAUUAGAUACCCUGGUAGUC
RNAcentral lists this ribosomal RNA (464 nucleotides) under Bacillus pumilus. RNAcentral's name for it is "bacterial SSU rRNA". It matches the Rfam family "Bacterial small subunit ribosomal RNA", at positions 338 to 795 of the family's 1533-position model. The record is from RNAcentral. Lineage: Bacteria; Bacillati; Bacillota; Bacilli; Caryophanales; Bacillaceae.